This 398-nucleotide ribosomal RNA is filed under the name uncultured bacterium. Its description in RNAcentral is "partial 16S ribosomal RNA". It matches the Rfam family "Bacterial small subunit ribosomal RNA", at positions 523 to 918 of the family's 1533-position model. The record is from RNAcentral.
AUACGUAGGGUGCGAGCGUUGUCCGGAAUUACUGGGCGUAAAGAGCUCGUAGGUGGUUUGUCGCGUCGUCUGUGAAAUUCCGGGGCUUAACUCCGGGCGUGCAGGCGAUACGGGCAUAACUUGAGUACUGUAGGGGAGACUGGAAUUCCUGGUGUAGCGGUGAAAUGCGCAGAUAUCAGGAGGAACACCGGUGGCGAAGGCGGGUCUCUGGGCAGUAACUGACGCUGAGGAGGGAAAGCAUGGGUAGCGAACAGGAUUAGAUACCCUGGUAGUCCAUGCCGUAAACGGUGGGCGCUAGGUGUAGGGGUCUUCCACGACUUCUGUGCCGUAGCUAACGCAUUAAGCGCCCCGCCUGGGGAGUACGGCCGCAAGGCUAAAACUCAAAGGAAUUGACGGGG